UCUCCGUAGGUGAACCUGCGGAGGGAUCAUUACCGAGCUCAUGCCCUACCGGGUAGAUCUCCCACCCUGUGUUAUUAUUACCUUUGUUGCUUUGGCGGGCCGCCGCGCUCCGGCCCCGCUACCGGCUCCGGCUGGUAAGCGCCCGCCAGAGGACCCCAAACCCUGAAUGUUAGUGUCGUCUGAGUACUAUAUAAUAGUUAAAACUUUCAACAACGGAUCUCUUGGUUCUG
Molecule: unclassified non-coding RNA, 230 nt
Filed under: plant metagenome
Description: partial contains small subunit ribosomal RNA, internal transcribed spacer 1, and 5.8S ribosomal RNA
Source: RNAcentral